RNAcentral lists this ribosomal RNA (915 nucleotides) under uncultured bacterium. RNAcentral's name for it is "bacterial SSU rRNA". It matches the Rfam family "Bacterial small subunit ribosomal RNA", at positions 8 to 943 of the family's 1533-position model. The record is from RNAcentral.
AGAGUUUGAUCAUGGCUCAGAAUCAACGCUGGCGGCGUGCCUCAGACAUGCAAGUCGAACGAUUAAAGCUCUCUUCGGAGAGUGCAUAAAGUGGCGCACGGGUGAGUAACACGUAAGUAAUCUACCCUCGAGUGGGGAAUAACACCGGGAAACCGGUGCUAAUACCGCAUAAUGCAGCGGCACCGCAAGGUGACAGUUGUUAAAGAUUUAUUGCUUGAGGAGGAGCUUGCGGCAGAUUACCUAGUUGGUAAGGUAAUGGCUUACCAAGGCAACGAUCUGUAGCCGGUCUAAGAGGACGGUCGGUCACACUGACACUGAAUAACGAGUCAGACUCCUACGGGAGGCAGCAGUCGGGAAUUUUGGGCAAUGGGCGAAAGCCUGACCCAGCAACGCCGCGUGAGGGAUGAAGUAUUUCGGUAUGUAAACUUCGUAAGAAUGGGAAGAAACAAAUGACGGUACCAUUUGUAAGCCCCGGCUAACUACGUGCCAGCAGCCGCGGUAAUACGUAGGGGGCAAGCGUUGUUCGGAUUUACUGGGCGUAAAGGGCGCGUAGGCGGCGUGACAAGUCACUUGUGAAAUCUCCGGGCUUAACUCGGAACUGCCAAGUGAUACUGUCGUGCUAGAGUGCAGAAAGGGCAAUCGGAAUUCUUGGUGUAGCGGUGAAAUGCGUAGAUAUCAAGAGGAACACCUGAGGCGAAGGCGGGUUGCUAGGCUGACACUGACGCUGAGGCGCGAAAGCUAGGGGAGCAAACGGGAUUAGAUACCCCGGUAGUCCUAGCCCUAAACGAUGAAUACUUGGUGUCUGGAGUUUUUAUCUCGGGUGCGUCGCUACGUUUUAGUAUUCGCUGGGGAGUACCCCUCGCAGGGUGAAACUCAAAGGAUUGACCGGGACCCGCACAAGCCGGUGGGAGCAUG